This 343-nucleotide unclassified non-coding RNA is filed under the name Hevea brasiliensis (rubber tree). Lineage: Eukaryota; Viridiplantae; Streptophyta; Magnoliopsida; Malpighiales; Euphorbiaceae. The record is from RNAcentral.
UCGAGGAGUUGCCGAGCGCUUUCACAGGGUACACUCUGCUGCACCUCUCCCGGCCUCUAAUACUUUAUCACUACUCUGUUUAGGAGUAUGGAGUUGAUGGUACGUAACAUGUGUGCUGUUUGUGGAGAGAUUGGUCUGUCAGUUCCAAGGUGACCUGUUAGGAGGAAUGCACUGUGAUGGGAGAUUACCUCGGCAUGAUUGAAGCAGCAAGGCUUAGUAGCUUUUCAAUUUGUGAAGACUUUUGUCAAUUUAUAAAUGCUGCAGAACCUUUAAAGCAGUGAAGCUGAUUUUGAUUCAUCAUGAUGAAGAGAACCAAUCUCUUGGGAUGUAACAUUUAAGAGGA